This is an RNA transcript of Stegostoma tigrinum, 9544 nucleotides long. It is a transcript of the gene named utrophin-like, with no coding region annotated. The transcript is spliced from 4 exons. The record is from RefSeq and is a predicted model, not a curated record. Lineage: Eukaryota; Metazoa; Chordata; Chondrichthyes; Orectolobiformes; Stegostomatidae.
CUGAGGGAGGGCCAGUUUUCAGGGAGCACUGCACUGUCAGAGCAUCAAUAAGAAGGGUCUGCUAUGUUCUCAUUGGGUCAAUAUUGAAGGAAUUCUGCAUUAUCAGAGUGUUAAAAUUCAGGGAAUGCAACAAUUUCAGAAAGAUGAUGUUGAUGCGGUGGUGGGGGGGGGCACGGUAGCAUAAGGUGGUGAUGGGAAAGUGGUAAGUCAUGCAACACCACUGAAGGGUCAGCACUGAGAGAAAGUCACCCUCUCAGAGGGUCAAUAUUAAGGGAGAGCUUCACUGUCAGGAGGUCAAUCUUCAGACAGUGCUCCAGGACUGAGGCUCAAUAUUAAGUGACUGCAAUACUGUCAGAGGGUCAAUGAUGAGCACGUGCUGAAGUGUUGUAGAGUAAGUACUGAGGGAGUGCUGCAUUGUCAGUGUCAUCAAUGAGUGAGCUCCACACUGUCGGAAGGCCAAUUUUUAGCAAGUGCUGCACUGUCAGAAUGUCACUACUGAGGGAGAACUGCACUGUCAGAACAGUGAGUCAUCACAGAGCACUGCACUGUCAGAGGGUCAAUAUUAAUGGUAUGCUACACAGAGUUGGGUUAGCAAUGAGGGAGUGCUACACUGAGGGGAGUCAGUACGAAGGGAAACUGCCCUCUGAGAGGGUCAACAGUAAGAGUGUGCCAGCGGUUCAGUGCUGGGGAAUUACAGCACUGAGAGACGGUCAGCAGUCCCUCAAGUCCUGACUCUCUGACAGAUAAGCCACUCCCAGAGAUUCGGUACUCCGUCAUAACUAGCCGCCUGGCAACAAGGUACAAACUCAGAACUGACCCUCUGGCCAUUAUGCCCUCUCUCUGUUUUGACAUUUUAAACAUGAGGGUCUUCCCUUAAUCAUGGGGAUUUUCAGCACUUCCUCAGUACUCCUGGCCCCCUGACAGUGUUGCACUACCUCAAACUGACCAUAUUAAAAUGAGGCAUCAUCUCAAUUUGAUCCUUUGACAAUGAUGCACUCCCUCAGCAUGCACCCUCUAACAAUAAGGCACUCCAUCAGUAGUGACCCUCUGCUGAUAGUGCUGCAGGACCUCAGUACUGAUCCUCCGAUUGUGCGAUUCCCUCAAUUCGUAUCCCAUUACAAUGAGGCACUGCAUUCGUAUGGCCCUCCGACGAAGUAGCACAGCCUCAGAAGUGAUCCAUUGACAAUGAAGCUUUCCCUCGGGACUGACCCUCUGAGUGCUACUCGACCACAGCAGUGACACUCUAAUCCUGCAUAACUGUCUCAAUUCUGACCUCAAUCCUGACCCUCUGAUUGUGAGGCACUCGGUUCUGACCCUGUUACAUUGACAUUGCAGUUCUUCCUCAUUGUUGACCCUCUUGCAGUGCAGAAUUCGCUGACGCUCACGCACUCCCAAUGCGGCAUACCUUUAAUACUGAACAUCUGAUAGGACUGCAGGGAACUGACUCUGACAGUGCAGCAUUCUCUCAGUAUUGACCCUCUGACAGUAUUUCGGGGAGUGCUGCACUGUCAGAGAGUCAGAACUGAGGAAGAGCUGCACUGUCAGUGGGCAAAUAUUCAUGGAUUGCUUGGGUCAAUUUUAAUGGAGUUGUGCAGUGUGACACAUUCAAUAUUAAGAGAGUACUGCACUGUCAGAGGGUCAAUGAUGGGAGAGUGCUGUGGUGUUGGAAGGUGUGUCCUGAAAGGGAGCCGCCCUGCCAGAGGGCCUAUAUUAAGGCAGUGCAGCAUUGUGAGAGGGUCGAUAUUUAGUGCAUGCUCCUGUCUCAGAGGGUCAAUUUGAUGGGACAACAUGCCUCUGAAACUAACUUGUUGGAGUGCUGCACCGCCUGAGGGUUCGUCUGAAGGGAGUGAUGCCCUGUCAGAUGAUGAGCUUUCCCUCAUCUUUAACCGUCUGACAGUGCAGCACUCCCAUAAUAUUAACCCGCUACCAGUGUGGCACUUGCUUACAAUUGAACUUCUGACAGUGCACAAGUCCAACAAAAUGAUCCUCUUGAGUGUCGCGCACACUCAAUAUUGGCCCUCCAACAGUGCAGCACUCCCUCAGGACUGACCGUCUGACAUUGAUACGUGGAUCGUGUAGCAAUCCUGUAAUAUUGACCCACUGACACAGCAGAACUUCCUCAAUAUUGUUUUUCUGACAGUAUUGCACUCCUGAUCCUUCGGCAGUGCCCCUUGAUAUCAAUCUUUUCACAUUAGACCACUCCCUCAGCACUAACUCUCUGAAUGUGCAGCACUUCUCAGGACUGAUUCUGUGAUAUUUCAGCACUCCCACAUCAUUAACCGUCUGACAGUGCAGCCCUCCCUUUAUAUCAACCCUCCAACAGUGCAUUGUUUCCUUAAUAUUGGACCUCUGAUUGUGUGAUACUCCCUCAGUGCGAAACUCUGACAAUACAGCACUCUCUCUGAAAUAACUCUCUGAUUAAGCACUUCCUCUGUGCUAACCCUCUGAAAAUGGAGCUUUCUCUCAUUACUGACCCUUUGCAGUGCUGCACUGCCUCAGUACUCACUCACCACAAGUGCAGCACUCCAUUAAGAGUGAUCCUCUGACAGUGUGGCACUCCCCUAAUAUUGGUCCACUGACUGUGUGGCACUCCCUUAAUACUGACCUGCUCGCGGUGCAUCACUGCUCUAAUAUCAAACCUGCAGCUCUAUCAGAGGGUCUGUCCUGAGCAAGUGCCCCAUCGUCAGCAUGUCAAUUCUGAGGCAGUGCCUCCAUAUCAGUGAGUCAACAUUGAGGUAGCUCCUGACGGUCAGAAUUACGGGAGUGCCUCAUAUUUAGAGGGUCAUUAACUGAGGGACAGCCUCAUGAUCAGCGGGUCAGUCUUUACGGACUGCCUUAUAGCCAGUGUGUCAGUUCUGAGGCAGUGCCCUCAAUGUAACAGAUUUAGAAAUGGGGUAGGGGGCACAUGAUUAGAAGGUCAGUAGUAAGCUAUUGGUACUUUGUCAGAGGGUCAGUCCUCAGCGAGUGCCUCAUUGACAUGGGGUCCAUACAGAGGGUUUGCACUGAGGGAAUGCUUCCUUGUCAGAGAUUCAGAACUGAGAAAGUGCCUCAUUGUCAGAGGCUCAUUCCUGAGGCAGUGCCUCAUUGUCAGAGUGACAUAAUCAGAUCGCACUCCCUCAAUUCUAAACCUUAAUACUGACCCUCUGACAAUGAAUCACUGCCUCAGGACUGACCCUAUGACAAUGAAGUGUUCCUCAGGAUUGAACCAUUGACGAUGUGACUCUCCAUUUGUGUUGACCUUCUGAUAAUGGGGUUCUCCUUAAGUACUGACCCUCUGACGGUUGUGCACUGCCUCAGUACUGACCCUCUAAAUAUCUGCCACUCCGUCAAUUCUGACCUCCUUACGAUGAGGCAUUACCUCAAUACUGACUGGGGUGCAGGUCUCUGGCACAGAGUCUGUUGCUCUUGCAACGAAGGGAAGUGGGUAUAGGAGGAGAGUGUUAGUCAUUGGGGACUGAAUAGUUAGAGGGACAGAUAGAAGGCUUGUUUGGUACCGAAGAGACUCACGAUUGGUGCGUUGCCUCCAGGUGCUAGGGUCCGUGUUGUCUCGGAUAGUGUCUUUGGGGUCCUGAAGGGAGAGGGUGACCAGCCCCAAGCCAUGGUCCACAUAGGUACCAACGACAUAGGUAGAAAGAGGGAUAGGGACGUCAGGCAGGAUUUCAGGGAGCUCCGCUGGAAGCUGAGAGCUCAAACAAACGGAGUGGUUAUCUCUGGUUUGUUACCCGUGCCAAGUGAGAGCGAGGCAAAGAACAGGGAGAGAUUUCAGCUGAACACGUGGCUGCAGGUGGGAGGGCUUCAGGUACAUGGACAAUUGGGGCUCAUUCUGGGGAAGGUGGGACCUGUACAAACAGGACGGUAUCCACUUGAACCAGAGGGGCACUAAUAUCCUGGGUGGGAAAUUGGCUAGUGCCAUUCGGGUGGGUUUAAACUAGCUUAGCAAGGGGAUGGGAAACUGUGGUGUAGUUUCAGUACACAGGAGAAAGAGAAUAGAUAGGACAUGGACAGGAUCUCAGUGUCACAGGAGUGUGCUGGCAAACAGCAAGCUGAAUUGAAGUGCGUCUACUUGACUGCCAGGAGUAUCCGGAAUAAGCGAGGUGAGCUUGCAGCAUGGAUAGGUACCUGGGGCUUCGAUGUUGUGGCCAUUACGGAGACAUGGAUAGAGCAGGGUCAGGAAUGGAUGUUGCAGGUUCCAGGGUUCAGAUCUUUGAGUAAGAUCAGGUAAGGUGGGAAAAGAGGGGGAGGUGUGGCUUUGUUUGUCGAGGACAGUGUAACGGAGGCUGAAAAAACUUUUGAGGAGGACUGGUCUACUGAGGUGGGAUGGGCUGAUGCCAGAAACAGGAGAGGGGAGGCCACACUGUUGGGAGUUUUUUAAUAGGCCUCUGCAAAGUUCCAGGGAUCUGAAGGAGAGGAUUGGCAAAACGAUUCUGGGCAGGAGUGAAAGGAACAGGGUGGUCAUUAUGGGAGACUUUAACUUCCUAAGCAUUGACUGGAAAUGCUGUAACUCUCGUACGUCGGAUGGAUGAGUUUUCGUCCAAUGCACGCAGGAGCGUUUCCCGACACGGUACGUCGAAGGGCCGACAAGAGGGGAGGCCACGCUGGAUCUGGUACUUGACAGUGAACCAGGCCAGGUGUUUGAUUUCGUGGUCGAUGAGCACUUUGGAGAGAGUGACCAUAAUUCGGUUACGUUUAGUUUAGCGAUGGAGUGGGAGAGGAACAUGCCACAGGGCAAGACUUAGAGAUGGGGGAAGGCAAUUAUAAUUGGGCAAGACUUAGGAGGCAAAGAAUGGGGUAGCAAAAUGCAGGGGAUGGGGACAAUCGAAAUGGGGAGCUGGUUGAAGCAACAGAUAUUGCGUGUCCUUGAUAGGUACGUCCCUGUCAGGCAGGGGUCAGUGAUAAGGUAGGGGAACCGUGGUUUACGAAAGAAAUUGUAUCUCGCGUUAAGCAGAAGAGCGAGGCUUAUGUGAUGUUGAGAUGAGAUGGAUCAGUUGAUGCGAUGGAGAGUUACAGAUGAGCAAGGAAGGAUUUAAAGAGAGAGUUAAGAAGAGCAAGGAGGGGUCCUGAGCAGUCAUUCGCAGGUAGAAUAAAGGAGAUCCGUAAAGUUUUCUCAAGGUAUGUGAGGAAUAUAAGGAUGACUGGGGUAGGAAUAGGGCCAAUCAAAGACAGAAGUGGGAAGUUGUGUGUGGACCGGGUAGAGUCGGAGAGGUGCUAAAUGAAUAUUUCUCAUCUGUUUUCACUGAGGAAGAGGAGAAUAUCGUCGAGACGACUGAGAUACGUGCUAUUAGACUUGAAAGGAUUCAGGUUAGUAAGGAGGAGAUGUUAUCAAUUCCAGAAGGUGUGAAGCUCGAUAAAUCCCCUGGGCCUGAGAGGAUUUUUCCGAGAAUUCUCUGGAAAGCUCGGGAGGAGGUGGCGGAGCCCUUGGCUUUGAUCUUUGAGUCCUCAUUGUCUGCAGGUUGAACACCAGAGGACUGGAGGAUUGCAAAUGUUGUGCCCUUGUUCAAGAAGGGCAGUAGAGAUGAGCCAGGCAAUUACAGCCAGUGAGCCUUACGUCUGUUGCAGGAAAAGUUUUGGAAAGGGUUAUAAGAGAUAGGGUUUAUAAUCAUCUCGGAAGCAACAAUUUGAUUGGAGAUAGUCAACAUGGAUUUGUCAAGGGCAGGUCGUGUCUCACAAACCUCAUGGAGAUUUUGAGGAGGUGACCAAGCAUGUGGAUGAGAGAAGGCCAGUUGACGUAGUGUACGUGGACUUCAGUAAAGCCUUUGAUAAGGUUCCACAUGGUAGGCUAUUGGAGAAAAUACGGAGCCAUGUGAUUGAGGGAGAUUGAGCAGUUUGGAUUAGAAACUGGCUUUCGGUAAAAAGGCAACCAGUGGUGUUUGAUGGAAAAUAUUCAGCCUGGAGUCCGGUUACUCGUGGUGUGCCUCAAGGAUCUGUUUUUGGCCCACUGCUGUUUGUCAUUUUUAUAAAUGACUCGGACGCAGGCAUAGGUGGAUGGGUUGGUAAGUUUGCAAAUGACACUAAAGUCGGUGGAGUGGUGGACAAUGUGGAAGAAUGUCGCAUGUUGCAGGGAGACUUGGAUAAAGUGCAAAAUUGGGCGGAAAGGUGGCAAAUGGAGUUCAAUGUGAGGUGAUUCGCUUUGGGAGGAAUAAUAGGAAGGUACAAUACUGGGCCAAUGGAAAGAUUCUUGGUAGUGCGGAUGUGCAGAGGGACCUUGGCGUCCAUGUACACAGAUCUCUGAAAGUUGCCACCCAUGUUGAUCGUGCUGUGAAGAAGGCAUACGGUGUGUUAGACUUUAUUGGUAGAGGGAUUGAGUUCCAGAGCCGUGAUGUCAUGCUGCAACUGCACAAAACGCUCGUGCGACCUGUUCUGGUCGCUCCAUUGCGGGACGAAUUCGGAAGCAUUGGAAAAGGAGCAGAGGAGAUUUACCAGGAUGUUGCCUGGUCUGGAGUGAAGGUCUUAUGAGAGAAGGCUGAGCGACUCGAGUCUGUCCUCAUUGGGGAGAAGAAGGCUAAGAGGGCCUUUAAUAGAAACAUACAAGACGAUCAGAGAAAGAUGAGUCAGGGUGGACGGUGAGAGUCUUUUUCCUAGGAUGAUGAUGUUGGCUUGUACGAGGGGGCUCAGCUACAAAUUGAGGGGUGAUGGAUUGAAGACAGAGUCAGAGGCAGGUUCUUUACCCAGAGAGUGGUAAGGGCGUGGAAUGCCCUGCCUGCCAAUGCAGUUAACUCAGCCACAUUCAGGGCAUUUGAACAGUCCUUGGAUAAGCAUAUAGAUGAUGAUGGGAUAGUGUGAGGGAAUGGGCUUAGAUUAGUUCACAGGUUGGCGCAACAUCGAGGGCCGAAGGACCUGUUCUGCACUGUAUUUUACUAUGUUCACAGAUGACACUAAAAUGAGUGAGAGAGUAAAGUCUGAAGAGGACGAUGAAAAUCUGCGGAAGGAUGCAGAAAGUUUAAGUGAAUGGACAAGGGUCCAGCAGAUGGAGUCCAAUGAUGGUAGAUGUGAGGGUAUCCAUUUUGGUAGCAAUUAUGGAAAAAUGGAGUCUUGCUAAAAUGGUGAAAAAUUGUAGCAUGCUGCUCCGCAGAGGGAGCUGGGCAGCCUUGUGUCUGAAUCAGGUAGUUUGCAGAUGCGGCUGGUAAUUGAGACAGCAAAUGGAAUAGUGUCCUUCAUUGCGAGAGUGAUGCAGUUUAAAAAUCGGGAGGGUAUGCUACAGUUGUUUUGGGUGCUGGUGAGGCUUGGUGUGGAGUAGUUUGUCCAGUUUUAGUCUCCUCACUUGAGCAAGGAUGUACUGGCACCGGAGGGGGUGCAAAGGAGGUUCACGAGGUUGAUUCCAGAAUUAAAAAUGUUGCUGUAUGGGGAGAGAUUGAGUAGACUAGGAUUGCAGUCACUGGAAUUGAGAAGAAUGAGGGGUGAUCUAAUAGAAACUUUUAAAAUUAUGAAACAAAUGGAUCGGAAAUUGUUUCCACUGAUGGGCGAAAUUCCAACUCGGGGGCACAGCCUCAAAAUAAGUGUGAACAGAUUGAAAACUGAGUUGAGGAUGAGCUUCUUCAUCCAAAGGGUUGUGAAUCUGUGGAAUUCUCUGCCCACUGAAACAGUUGAGGUUCCCUUGUUGAAUGUUUUGAAAGCCAAAACAGAGAGAUCUUUGAACAGGAAAGGAAUUGAGGGUUCUGGUGAAUGGGAGGGGAAGUGGAGCUGAGUCCGCAAAAAAGAUCAGCGGAACGAGCUGGAAGAGACAGAUGGCCUACUCCUGUUUUAUUUCUUAUGUCCGUACGUCCUUAGAUUGCCAUCCUUGUCAUUCCUCCUUCCCUGGAAUAGGCCAGUUCUGAACUGAAGAGUAGGUCUUUAAAUAACUCCCACGUAUCAAAUGUUGACUUGUUCAAUAAAAGCUCCUCCCAAUUAAUACUGCUCAGCUCCUACCUAACACUGAUGUAAUUUUCCCUCCCCCAAUUUCAUCCCUUCCCACAAGGUCCUGAUUAUCCAUGGCUGUCUUAAAAUGUAAGGAGAUGCGAUCGCCCAUUUAAGAAGCUCCUGGUUCACUGUUUUUCCCAAGUGGGAGUCAGCUACAGGCUUUCUUGUUCCACGAUGGGGGAGGAAAUGGCCUAGUGGUAUUAUUGCUGGACUGUUAAUUCAGAGACUGAGAUAACAUUCUGGGGACCUGUGUUCAAAUUCCAGCACAGCAGAUGGUGGAAUUUGAAUUCAAUAUAAAAGAAAAUCAUGAAUUAAGAAUAUAAUGAUGACCAUGAAUUCAUUGCCAAAUGUCAGAAAAACUCAUCUGGUUCACUGAUGUGCUUUCGGGAAGGAAACUGCCACCCUUACAUGAUCUGGCCUAUAUGUGACUGCAGACCCACAGCAAUAUGAUUGACUUUGAACUGUCCCCUGGGCAAUUAGGGAUGGACAAUAAACACUACAUAGCUAGGGAUGUCCUCCUCCCAUUAACAAAUAAAUAAAAUUGGAUUCUACAUCUUCCGAUCCAAGAUCGUUUCUUGCUCUCAUACUAAUUUCUUUGCUUACAGUCACUUUCCCUCCUGCCUGUCUUUUUGGAAUGUCGUAUAGCCCUGCGCACUUAGCUCCAGUGUUGAUCUCCUUGUAACCAUGUCUUUGUAAUAGCUAUAAAAUCAUGCCCGUCAACCUAGAAAUGUGCUAUUAAUUUGUUGAUUUUGUUCUGAAUACAAUGAGCACGCAAGCAAAGAGCCAUGAAUUUAGCUUUAUCACUUGAUUUCACCUCUUGACACUAUUUACAGCUGUUUUCUGUUUGUACAUGCUGUCUUUUCCAGUACCACGCUGAGUAUUGUUGUCCCGAUAGUUCUUUCGUAUCAGUCCGUGUGUAUUCCUGGGCGAAUGUGCUCGUGUGGUCUCAGGAGUUGCGGAGGUCACGGCUCUGGGACAGCCGUUUCAUCGCCCUAUGCUGCAGGAAAAAAGCAAUGAAAGUGCCGUUAAUGUUUUGCACGGCGAGCUGCUGCAUACUAACCGGUCUCACACCAUUACCAUCACCUUGCCCUUGUGAAGGCAGAUAUGGAUAAGGUUCUCAAAGCUGAUAGAAGAUUGAAACCACUCUAAUCCUGUGACGAUGAACCUACCCCGGAAGAGAGAGCCCAGAGAAUUGCCAAAGCUGUCCGCAAACAGUCAACAGAAGUGAAGGAAAAUUGGGAGCAAUUGAAAACCCGUGCGAGCAACUGGCAGAAACAGGUGGAAAAGGCGUUGGAGAAACUUCAAGAACUGCAGAAAGCGCUGGAUGAUCUUGAGGCUCAUGUGAUAACAGCUGAGGGGGUCCACACUGAUUGGCAACCUGUGGGUGACCUGCUUCUUGACUCAUUGCAGGAUCACAUUGAUAAAACCACAGUAACUUUCCUGGAGCAAGUCUGGUUUCCUUCGGAUGAGACGACUUUCAGACAUACUCCCUUUAUUAUGAGAUUUAAUUGCGGUAAAAUGAGGAGGAUUUUUAUUCACUGAGACACACGUGACUAUAUGUUUAAAGCAUUGGAAAAUGCGUUCUGUUCGGACUGUCAUGUUAUCUGGUGUUUGUACCAGGCUUUCCGAUUAAAUGCAAGUGAUUAAGGAU